RNAcentral lists this ribosomal RNA (253 nucleotides) under uncultured bacterium. Its description in RNAcentral is "partial 16S ribosomal RNA". It matches the Rfam family "Bacterial small subunit ribosomal RNA", at positions 524 to 776 of the family's 1533-position model. The record is from RNAcentral.
UACGUAGGGGGCAAGCGUUGUUCGGAAUUACUGGGCGUAAAGGGCGCGUAGGCGGCACGGCAAGUCAGGAGUGAAAGGCCUGGGCUCAACCGAGGAACUGCUUUUGAGACUGCCGAGCUAGAGUGCAGAAGGGGCAACUGGAAUUCCCAGUGUAGCGGUGAAAUGCGUAGAUAUCCGGAGGAACACCGGUGGCGAAGGCGGCUUCCUGGACCGACACUGACGCUGAGGCGCGAAAGCUAGGGGAGCAAACGGG